CCUACGGGUGGCAGCAGUGAGGAAUCUUGGUCAAUGGACGAGAGUCUGAACCAGCCAAGUAGCGUGAAGGAUGACUGCCCUAUGGGUUGUAAACUUCGUUUAUAAAGGAAUAAAACGAGGCACGUGUUCCUUUUUGCAUGUACUUUAUGAAUAAGGAUCGGCUAACUCCGUGCCAGCCACCGCGGUAAUACGGAGGAGCAGAGCGUUAUCCGGAUUUAUUGGGUUUAAAGGUAGCGUAGAUGGGUUGUUAAGUCAGUUGUGAAAGUUUGCGGCUCAACCGUAAAAUUGCAAUUGAUACUGGCAGUCUUGAGUACAGUUGAGGUAGGCGGAAUUCGUGGUGUAGCUGUGAAAUGCUUAGAUAUCACGAAGAACUCCGAUUGCGAAGGCAGCUUACUAAACUGCCACUGACAUUGAUGCUCGAAAGUGUGGGUAUCAAACAGGAUUAGAUACCCCUGUAGUC
This 460-nucleotide ribosomal RNA is filed under the name uncultured bacterium. RNAcentral describes it as "partial 16S ribosomal RNA". It matches the Rfam family "Bacterial small subunit ribosomal RNA", at positions 338 to 795 of the family's 1533-position model. The record is from RNAcentral.